AGGAAGACUUCAAUAUAUUUUGUUGUCUUGAAUUACACUUGAGUACAUAGUUCUAUUUGGCAUAUAUGCUCUACUUGGCACAAGUCUUCCACAUCCCCUGCUUUCGUCCGGUUAUAUCACAUAUCUAAACCUGGCCUCAGGCUGGGAUGAAGAUGAGUUGGAAGCAUACGCUCUAUUGCCAAAGCAACUAGAUUUGUUCAGAUACCAAGGGGAAUUCACUCGCCUUUCACAGUUCAUCAACAAAACCAAGGUUUCUGCGAUUCCAUAGGACUCAUGAUAAUAUGGAAUAUUGUCCGAAAUACCAAAAUAAGGAGGGAUGGAGGACAAAUUAUCCUUCUGAAUAUCUGAGUCUACAACUCGGAUUGUUCUGGAAGUGUAAUUGAUUUCCUGUACGUAGUGUUCUACGGACAAUAAGUAUAACGCAGUUUGGUUGUCCUGAAAAGACAGGGUAUACCUUGGGUUGCCGCAGUUUGGAGGAUCGUUUUAAAAUCGAAAUGGAGAGCUUAUGUUGGGGAUACUACCGCAGGAAGAAGGAACACAGUCCGGAUUUGUAUCCUGAGCACUGCAAGUUUGAUGAAGAAGUAGCACAACUAGAACGAUAAGGGCCAUGAGUCCUGCAGAAAGGGACACACCUUUCUUCACUGUGGGAGAGAGAGAGUGAGAGUAUAGGGCAUAGCUUCCACAGCUGUGAACAAACAAUAUUAUAGAAGUGUACACAUGCGUCACAUGAUUCCAAUAAUUAUGCAGCUGCGUCACUAAAUUAUUAGUUUUAUAUUGAAAUUAAUUGGACUACAUUUAUUUAUAUUUUUUCCGAUCAUUGCGUCAAUAAAUUUGAGUAUACAGCAAAGAUAGUGUGAUUGUUUGCCUUUUAGUCACGGCAGGCUGAUAAAACAGAUCGGACAAUUAAGUAUUUGCUCGAUCGUAAUAAGAAUGGCAAAGUCAUAUUUCUUCUUGUUUGUGGUUUUCAUCUUACACCACGUCCGAUGCGAACAUGAUGAUUGUGCUGAUUCAUUUCGGUGUGGCGGCCACGGCCCGCCAUCCGAUUUCCUUUCCGACUCAAAGACUGCCACCCGGACCGCUGUGGUUUUCUUGGGUUUCAUUUGUCCUGCUCCGAUACACACGAUUAAGUGCUCCAGCUGCCAAUUUCAGUCAAGCUUUUUAUCAAAAAGAUUGACUACAGAUCUCAGGAAUUUCACGUAUAUCAUCCUGAUCGUUGCUUUUCCAAGAGGAAUCCGGCGACUCAAUAUAUCUUCCUCUCCUUUCCAAUUCACAGGAGUCGAUCAAUACUUUUAUGACUUAGCCUUUUUCAACUGUUCCCAUAGUACUAAAGGAGAAAAACACAGUGAUUGGCGUGCGGUUUCUUGUCAUAAUGACCCUACCUAUAGCCACCAAGUUUAUGCCUUGAGAACUGAUAAAGACAUCAGCUUGUUGCCCACACUACCUUGUAGAAAGAUGUAUAGUGUUAGAUCAAUUCCAAGUCCUAUUGUAUAUAAUCCUGAUGAAAUCCUUUAUUUGAACUGGUCUAGACCAUCUUGCAGAAACUGUGAACUGAAGGCAGGAAUUGUAGGUCGAUGAAUAUUAAUAGCAGCAGUACCGAGUCAGAAAUUCAGUGCUUCCCCAAACACAACAAAGAAUAGAACGAGAAUGUGAUGAUUAUAUAUGUCAACAAAAGUAGUGAUCACCAUUGGUGCCAUUUUAGGUCCAACUCUUUUACUACUGCUGGCCUUCGCACUUUAUCGUGUCUAUAGUAAAGACAAAGCAGAAAAAGAAUAUCGGAAGAAGAUUGAAAAUUUCUUGGACGAUUACAGAAGCUACAAGCCCACGAGAUACUUGUACGCUGAUCUUAAAAGAAUUACAAAUCAGUUUACUGAGAAAUUGGGCGAAGGAGCCUAUGGAACAGUGUUCAGAGGAAAACUUUCUAUUGAAAUCCACGUUGCCGUGAAGAUCUUGAACAGUUCUAGGGGAAAUGGAGAAGAAUUCAUAAAUGAAGUUGGAAUAAUGGGUAGAAUCCAUCAUGUCAAUGUGGUUCGCUUGGUUGGAUUUUGUGCUGAUGGAUUGGGGAGCCCUUUAUGCUAAUUAAGAGGCAUCAGAAAAUAGAAAAAUUUCUCUCUUAAAGUAGCAUUCAUCGUUUACUUGAUAAGAAAUCGGAUCCUGCAGUGUUUACUCAAACCCGUAUGGCUUUUUCAGCAAAAGCGACGUUGUUCGCUGAACUCGAAGAUGCCGCACUUUCCACAAUCUGUAGGGGUCAUCCAAGAAAGCUCAAAACCGUAUAGCAAUAGGUUGUGUAAGUCUCUGUGCAGGAAAUUCUACGUGGGUCUUCUGGUACCAGAUUGCGGACUGACCACGAUGUCUGGAAUAUAUGCUCUACUUGGCACAAGUCCUCCACAUCCCCUGCGUUCAUCUGGCUAUAUAUCACAUAUCUAAACCCGGCCUCAGGCUGGGAUGAAGAUGAGUUGGAAGCAUACGCUCUAUUGCCAAAGCAAGUAGAUGUGUUCAGAUACCCUGGGGAAUUCACUCGCUUUUCACAGUUCAACAAAACCAUGGUUUCUCUGAUUCCCCACUUCCGCUAAUAUGGAGUAUAAUUCCAUAAAUAUUCAGAAGGGAUGUAGGAGUUGUUAUCCUUCUGAAUACCUCUGUCUACAACUCGGAUUGUUUGGGAAGUGUAAUUGAUUUCCUGUACGUAGUGUUCUACGGACAAUAAAUAUAACACAGUUUGGUUGUCCUGACAUGACAGGAUAUAUCUUAGGUUGCCGCAGUUGGAGGAUCGUGUUCCAAUCGAAAUGGAGAGCUAAUGUUGGGAAUACUGCCGCAGGAAGAAGGAACACAGUGGCGAUUUGUAUCCUUGGCACUGCAAGUUUGAUGAAGAACUAGCGCACAACUAGAACGAUAAGGGCCACAAGUCCUGCAGAAAGGGACACACCUCUCUUCAUUCCAAUUACUGGGAGAGAGAGAGAGAGAGAGAGAGAGAGAGAGAGAGAGAUUUUAGCGCAUAGGUUCCACAGCUGUGAAGAAACAAUAUUUAAGUAGUGAGAAAUGAUCUUUACAAGUUCUAAAUAUACAA
Carya illinoinensis is the source of this 3061-nucleotide long non-coding RNA. RefSeq lists it as uncharacterized. The record is from RefSeq and is a predicted model, not a curated record. NCBI's taxonomy places the organism in Eukaryota, Viridiplantae, Streptophyta, Magnoliopsida, Fagales, Juglandaceae. The transcript is spliced from 3 exons.